Melanotaenia boesemani (Boeseman's rainbowfish) is the source of this 425-nucleotide long non-coding RNA. RefSeq lists it as uncharacterized. The record is from RefSeq and is a predicted model, not a curated record. The transcript is spliced from 3 exons. Lineage: Eukaryota; Metazoa; Chordata; Actinopteri; Atheriniformes; Melanotaeniidae.
AAAUUUUGAUCCGAAAACCUACAAGAAUGACGUUCUUUAUCAAAUUCUCUGGGAAAACGACUACUACAACGGUCAAGUUCUCCUACUGAAAGAAACUCGAGAGGACCUUCAACAGUUCACAGAGAAUCCUCGGAAGCGGAUUAGAGUCCCAAAGGUCAUGGAGGAGGGGCUAGUUGCGGUGGAAAAAAAUCCUGAAGCGGUCAGAGAACGUAGUGACUUGAAGAAAAAAGCGAAAACCAUCCAAGCAGCUGAAGGAAAUGAAAAAAGAAAAAGCCUUAUGCGGAUCUUGGAAGAAAAAAAGGCAAUGAAAAAAACUUCUCCACUUCUUGCAAAUGAACAAAAGAGGAAGAGGGAGGAAACGCCGCCAGACAGCUUCUCUGACAGUGAUGAAGACGGAGGAGGAGUUGUACCACAACGGAUAUAUG